RNAcentral lists this ribosomal RNA (303 nucleotides) under uncultured bacterium. RNAcentral's name for it is "partial 16S ribosomal RNA". It matches the Rfam family "Bacterial small subunit ribosomal RNA", at positions 507 to 807 of the family's 1533-position model. The record is from RNAcentral.
AGCAGCCGCCACGGUAAUACGUAGGUGGCGAGCGUUGUCCGGGAUUAUUGGGCGUAAAGGGCUCGCAGGCGGUUUCUUAAGUCUGAUGUGAAAGCCCCCGGCUCAACCGGGGAGGGUCAUUGGAAACUGGGAAACUUGAGUGCAGAAGAGGAGAGUGGAAUUCCACGUGUAGCGGUGAAAUGCGUAGAGAUGUGGAGGAACACCAGUGGCGAAGGCGACUCUCUGGUCUGUAACUGACGCUGAGGAGCGAAAGCGUGGGGAGCGAACAGGAUUAGAUACCCCAGUAGUCCCUGUCUCUUAUAC